AUACUAUUUUCUGAUUGGCUGACACGUUGCUAAUUCAAGACAGUUGUAUGAAUGAGCUACGUAGAGCAGUCUGCUGUCGCAUGGUCGAUUCACCGAUUACUAAUUUAUUUCACAGUUGGAACUUAGGUCCUCAUCCACUCACUGUGGUCUGCUGUCAUCCAUCCACAUCUCUAUCCUCGUUGCCCGCCACACAUGCAGCAAGUGACACCCCAUCAACACUACAAUCAUUUAUCUGGACUUCCAAAGCACAGGAGGGUGUUGUACUAUACAUUGGAAUUGCUUCAUGACUGGUACAGGGAGAAGGGUGACUACAGUCAGCGUAUCGUUGAUCUCGGGCACUAAUAGUGGGCAUAUCUUCUCUGCAAUGGGGUGAAGAGGUCAGCACUAAACCCUCUGAGACUCAUCAUGACGGGGGACAAUGCGAGGGAAGACGGUCGCUGGAGAAUAACAGCUCUUUAAUGUCAGAGGGUCCUAAGCUGAAUGGAUCUGCCUGAAAACUAGUGGAUGACUGCGAAACCCCUCUGGGGUUAAAGGAGCAUGGAGAGCAGACAGAUGCACGGCAGCGGUGACAGCAGCUGAGAGACACAAUGCUGAGAUUGCUCAUAUUGAUUUGAUUAUUAACAUCCAGUGUGUUUGAAUGUGCACGAGUGGAUGUGUGCAAGCAUGCGCCGCGUGACGCAUGCCGGUAUCGACGCCAUCAGACGCUCGCUGUGGUAUGUGCCGCACAUGAGCUCUCCAUGAGCAGCUGUAAUUAGCUGCAGAGCCACUGGAGGACAUGCUGAUGCAUCCAUUUCCUUUUCUUUUUUUUAUAGUGUCUUGUAAAAGUCAUCUUCAUGCUAAUGAAGCUUCGCCUCUGCUGGGUGCGUGGUGGAGUGUGCUUUUGCAUGUGAAGGUGUAAAGCGGGUGCAUAUUUGGGAUGGGCCCGCACACUCUUACCUCUGGGAUGAACUAUGUGAGGUGAUAAACAGAAGGGGAAAAAAAUCUCAGGCGAUGCUAAAUGCUAAUAUGUAUUCCAGGUGUGUCGCUCUGAUCUCUUAAAGUGCAAUUUUGCAUUUGAAAGCAGAUUGCAUGUCUGCACAACCCCUGAGCAAUUAGAAGGCAAGUGUCAACAGCCAACCUUGGCCAAGUUUUAAUACUCUUUUGGCCGUCGCCAGCCCUUGAACUAACAACAUCACUUCUUGAGUUCUCUGAGAGAGCUGAGUGAAUGUAUGGCUUGGCUCCCACAUACAGCCUCAUAGUGAUGCCUACCAUCAAAAAGUUAUUACUCCGUAGCUCCUUCGUUUAUGAGAGUGAAACUGAAUGAAAUGAGAGCAAUACGUAUUCAUUAUUAUUCAUAACUAUUCACCUGGUCCACAGAAUGAACCAGAAAUAACUAAAUCCGGUGUAGACCUUUAUCUGAUUUCAACCUCUACUUAAAACAACAUUAACAGAGCAUGUACGUACGUUGUUUAACAUGUGUGAUUUAUUUCGCCGUGGAGAGUGGAGCAGAUAAGCCGAAGAAAGUGUUGCAUUUUUUUUUUAUGUCCUAAACACAUUUGGCAUGCAGGUUGUGAGCAUCAUGUUUGGAAAAAUCUGGCAGGGAGAACAACCCCUCCUCCAAAGUCCUGGAAGCAGUGGGCCCUCAUAAACUUCUGAGUAACGUGGCCGGGUGAUCACAUGACUACACGAGCGUCCUGGCCUCCGAGUAUGGAGGACUCACUCUUUCCAAACUCCAGUGGAAAACUACAGCUGCUACUGUAUUCCCUUCAUCGCUCUCCACAACUUUUUGGUCUCUCCUUUCUUGUGUGUGUAUGUGUGUGUGUCUUUGUGUCUCUCCCCCCCUUCUCUUUCUCAUUAGCCUGUGUCAGCAUAAUUCCACAGACCCAUACCCCUUCCCUGCCUCCCGAACCUUUAUUCUGGAUGGAAAGACUGAGAGGAAGGAAAGAGGGGAAAAUAAAGUGCUGUUGUUGGAAUAUGUGUCACUUGGCCAAAUAAGCUCCACAUGGUUGUCAUCAUGACGCAGGAUGUGGCAGACGUACUCCCUAUUCAUCUUCCUCGAGCCUCCUUCCCCAUCUCCCUCAGUGACCGUCCUUCGCUCUUCUCUUUAUGGUUUCCAUUCCUUCUUUUUAUUGUGCUCUAUUUUGUGCUUCCUCCCUAAUGUCACAAGCGGCAAAUUAGACUUUAGUAACGUAUCACGAUGGCCUGCUCCAGUCUUAAAUCGGAAGUGCAUGGCGACGUUGUAAGUUCAGUUGUUGCAGCGUUGGGAGCGUUUCAGCUCACUGCCUGGUAGUUUUAGUUUAUUCCGUGGCUUAUUGCAGCAAUAAUGCAGACCGGGGAAACUGAGGAGCUCGACACACACACCCACACACACAUACAUACUGUUUUAUUCAUGCUAAGCUAAAGCCUUGGUUAUAUUAUCGGUCAGCGAGAGACAGUGUUGGGUAUUAAGCAAUUUAGUGGCACACAACAGCGUGCUGAAGCUUUUAAUGACAAUCUAAACAGGAGUCCCUCGCACUAAUUCACUGGCGCGUGUUCGGUUAGGUUGUAUUUUGCGUGACUACCCAUUUACAAGCAUUUGUGGCUACGUCUUCCCUUAUUGAUUGACUGAUUUAUUUCGGCACUCAUGCUUGAAAUAGUAUCCCCUCCUUCAUCUGCACUGAAGUUGUGGGGAGUCACUUGGUGCACUGGCUCCAUCUUCUCCUCGGUGUGUUUUUGUGCGCGCGCGUAUGUGUAUCAGACAUUUACAAUGUAUGUGAAUGGGUUCACUGAUUCAACUCAAAGGUGAAAAAGAAAGACAAAGUACACCUCUCUCUCUCAUAUUAUACUCUUUUUUUUCUGUCUUCCCAUGCAUCUCAUCUACUCCCCUUCUUUUACUGCUCCUGUGCCAUCCCUCAUCCUCUUAGGGGAGCACGGGAGCAUGCAGUGGAAAUAACUGAACCAAUAAAGACACUGCCAGGAUCCAUCCACUCUCUGCUCCUCACAUAGUUACUGAGGGAAGGAAGGAGUAAUGAGAGAUCCUGAAGAGGGCAAGAGUGGAGGGAUACAAGGGAGAAGUCCACCGUUAAUGUGUCUACGGCCAUGGAUGAGGGAGGUAACGGUGGUAGGGUGCAGAAGGUGCGGACUAGAAUGAAGAUGGCGAGUCGAAUGGUGGAUGCACAUAAAUUUACACAGCCGUAUGGACCCCAGCUUGCUUGUAUGCCUCAUUCUCAUUCGGUACAUGUGACAGACAGUGGCCAGUCAUGGUGUGUACUCUGGAGGGUUGUCCAACACGUGCAAAAACUUGAAACUCCCCCGGAACACACUGCCUGUGCUGUGACAUGUCUUUUAGCAGCAGAAAGCUCAGCUGUAAAGCCACAUCUCCAAUAAGUUCCUUCUGCUCAUUUUUAAUUAAAGACGCCGAAGGAAGCUUAAAUGUAGAAGAUCGGCUCAAUAUGGAGCACGU
Molecule: long non-coding RNA, 3421 nt
Organism: Solea solea (common sole)
Lineage: Eukaryota; Metazoa; Chordata; Actinopteri; Pleuronectiformes; Soleidae
Exons: 5
Source: RefSeq, a predicted model, not a curated record